RNAcentral lists this ribosomal RNA (366 nucleotides) under uncultured bacterium. Its description in RNAcentral is "partial 16S ribosomal RNA". It matches the Rfam family "Bacterial small subunit ribosomal RNA", at positions 355 to 713 of the family's 1533-position model. The record is from RNAcentral.
UGGGGAAUUUUGGACAAUGGGCGAAAGCCUGAUCCAGCAAUGCCGCGUGUGUGAAGAAGGCCUUCGGGUUGUAAAGCACUUUUGUCCGGAAAGAAAUCCUUGGCUCUAAUACAGUCGGGGGAUGACGGUACCGGAAGAAUAAGCACCGGCUAACUACGUGCCAGCAGCCGCGGUAAUACGUAGGGUGCAAGCGUUAAUCGGAAUUACUGGGCGUAAAGCGUGCGCAGGCGGUUUGCUAAGACCGAUGUGAAAUCCCCGGGCUCAACCUGGGAACUGCAUUGGUGACUGGCAGGCUAGAGUAUGGCAGAGGGGGGUAGAAUUCCACGUGUAGCAGUGAAAUGCGUAGAGAUGUGGAGGAAUACCGAU